UAAGCAGAAGUCUUUUUUAUUAAGUUUAGAAUCUGUGCAGUGUUUUACUUUUCACACUAACAAAGUUGGGUUACAGCAGAACUUCUAACACUUGUAUUACCUGCAUACUUGCAUGCAUGGUUCCUUAAAUGAGUCGCAACAACUGAUUUACACAGUGGGAUUUAACAAAGAAACGUGUGAACCUUCACUUCAUUUAACACAGUGUGUGUUGUGAACAAGGAACAGGACAGGCUGGGAAAAGUAUGUGAGGCUUGAUGUUUAGUAACUAGUGGAACCUCCUUAGGCAGCCAUUAGCCUGUAGUCGCUGAUCAGACAGUUCACCCACAGGAGGUAUUUUAGACCAUUCCUCCCUUGUGGAUGCAUUGACACAGAUGUUAGAUAGUACCAGUGAGGCCUACAGGUAGGUGCUACCUGUUGGGUCCUUUGUCACCUCCCUGACUGUUAUACAACGUGCCCUUGCUGGGGAGAGUGGCAGUGGCUCAGACUUUUCUCUAUUUUUACACAGUCUUGUAUGUCUAUAGACUGGUGGAGGCUUCUGUAGCGUUUUCCCGAAGUUCGAGCUUCAGCAAAUCUUCUACUGAAUAGUCUAUGAUGACAUUUCACCGGGUCGUACUCCACUUGAACAGAUCUCUAUUUUGAGGAGCAGACGUUGGGAAUAAAACCUUUCUUCCACGACAUGACACCUCUAACUCACACUUGGGUGUCAUCGAUCGGGUCACCAGACUUGAAGUGAUUUAAACGUCUAUUCACAUGUGGCACUCAUUCGCCCAGUGUGUUAUGGACCGCGGACCGAGGAGGGGCUCGUCACCAUAAAUACGGCAGCCGGGUGGCUAAGCUUGAUCACGUGACCAUAAUGAGACGCCUUGGGGGAGGGGCCACAGGACUGGCAUCUGAUGACACGCGAGACACAGAACGCAACCGAUCUACAUGUGACCCCCGUCUGGCCAAUGAAUGAACAGUAAGAGCAAUGACACGAAUGUCACGUGACUUGUACUGUAUGAAAACAGUGCAACGUGGGAUUAUCAUGGGGCCUUGAGCAAAAUAAACCCAACUCUGAUUGUCCUUCAGCAUGAUAAUUGUCCAAAUAUUGGAACCGCGGAGUAGCAGACAAAGCUGACGUUUGGUUGAAUGGAUUCUUAUGACAUCUACACAAGAGCAAGCCAAGGUCACGUUCAGGGACUAAACAUUUUUGUAUUAAUUUUUUGCCUUUAGCCUGCCUUUAUUCCCAAUUUGUGAUUUAGGCCCUGGUUCAUUACAGCACCUCCCAGCGGCAGUGAUGGAGCUUAGCGUUCUCUCCCAUGGGUACGAAACUGUGAUUGGCUGCCAUCGCGCCCAUUUAAAGCACUGCAUCUGCCCAGCGGACUCCUAGCAUCUCCCAUUACUCCCAGAAGUAAAUCGCUCAACACGGAAGUCUAGCCCGGAAUCCCAAACUCAAAUCAGCUUGCGGGCGCUCGAGGAAUUGCUAGUGCGCGACGAGGCAAGGCAACCAUGUGCCAUAAACAAUCCUAUAAAACGGGACAAUGCUGGCAAAUUGCACCGCCCUCUACGAGACCCCAGGGCUAAUCCGUGAGUCGGACUUAGAACCGCUGUUUCACAAUGGCACCGCUGCGCCACACGGGGGAACCCAGAUGUAGUGCCCGUUUGUAAGUGAAGGCUUCUUCCUAUGCUGGGGACGCAGCGACUUUCUAUUCAUUUCCCCAGAGGGCAGCUGCAUGCACAUGUUUGAAUCUGAAGACCUCUGUGAAGAGCUGUUGACUAAUGGGGUGGUGGGGUGGAUUCAUAUGGUUAGAGCAUCUGACCAGUGAUAGAAAAUGUUGCUAGAUCAAAUCCCCAAAAACAGCGAGGUGAAAUAUUUGCCGUGCCUCACCUGAGCAAGGCAAAUAAACCUCAUCGGUGUCCUAGGUCGUAUGAGUAAAUGAGAACUUGUUCCCAGUCAGGUUAUCUGGCGAAAACUGGUCAUACAUAAAUAAAAAUGAAUGGUUAAAAAAAUAAAUGAGUAAGAAUCCCAUUGUGGGAUGGGUUUGACUGGUUUGUAGAUGUGAAUCACGAUAACUUGAGUCCGGUUUGGGGCUGUUCACACUUGCUUGUGGAUGUUGAGUGGAUCUUCCCAAGGUGGAAAAGAUGUGUUCUUUACAAACGUCAACAUGGAUCGGCAUGAAAAAAUAUAGCAAUCACCUAAUGAGAGAGGGACAUGGGGUCAGAGAGAUCAGUGGGUGGAUUCAACAAUAUUUAGCGUGUGUUUAUCCCCCAGUAUUUGUCUAAGGGCUAAUGUAAACGUAAAACUAAAUACAGGAUUAUUCAAUUUCCCAAAACAACACUACAUUCCUAUCAGGACUGAUGAUAGGCACUUAAUAAAAAUUCUAAAUAGUUUCCGUCUGCAUCUUACAAAAUGCAACUGUUCACAAACAGAAUUACAAAUUACGCCAUCCUCUAAUUUUAAUAUGUAUUUAACGUGCACGCUUGCCAGUGUUAACUCACACAGCCAAUAUGAGGGAUUUCCUGAGCACUGUACCCGACACAUAGAACAUGUCAUCAGGCAAGGUGGAGAUGCCCCCACCCGACGUCCUGCAGGGGGAGACGGUACUGAGGUAAGUCCAACACAUUUUGUAUUAUUUUGUCAGGCAAAUCGAAUAAAACAUGAUGGAGAAACCUGAUGUGCCCCUAAAACAAAAUACAACAUUUGGGGUUUCAGGCUGGGUGUAUUUGUGUAUUUAUAACUCCACCUUGGUUUGCCACUGGGGGAACUGUGGGUGACAAAAAAGGAACAAAUUAAACUCAGGAUGACAUAUUAAGGAAUUAAGGAAGAUUAUUAUUUUCUGUGUUGACAGUUAGGGGUUUACCAUAAUAUGUGUGUGUGUGUCUGUCUGUCUGUGUGUGUAUGUGUGUGUGUGUGUGUGUGUGAGAGAGAGAGAGAGAGAGGUUUGACAAAAUCUUUAUUAUUUCAUCAGGCAAAAUUGACAUAACAUGAUGGAGAAACCUAACAUGUCCCCUUAAAACAAAAUUCAACAUUUGGGGUUUCAGGGUGGGUGUCUGUAAAGGCAACUGCUGAUUUAAAAAGGGCUUCAUAAAAUAACUUGAUUGAUAAAUAAAUGUUUUUGUUCAAAUAUUUCACACAUCAACACAGAGAUAAGGGAUUAGAAACUAACAUCCUGACUAAGAGGUGGCUACGGUCAUGUGUUUCUAACCUCAGGGAAUUCAGCCCAUACCUUGUGUAUUUAUAACUCCACCUUGGUUUGCCACUGGGGGAACUGUCGGUUACAAAUAAGGAACAAAUUAAACUCAGGAUGACAAAUUAAAGAAUUAAGGAACAUUAUAAUUUUCUGUGUUGACAGUUAGGGGUUUACCAUAGUGUGUAUGUGUGUGUGUGUGUGGUUUGAAAAUGAGUUAGGACCUACAGCCCUCACAUGGAUAGUAAAUCAACCGUAAGAACAGUCCUUAUUGGGGUGAGGGUUAGACAUUAGGACAAAGAUAAAUUAUGGCCAGAAUGUUAGGUUGUUGAGGUUAAGUUUAGGAUUAUGUUGAAGGUUAAGAUUAAGGUUAGGUUAUGUUUAGGUUUGGAUUAAAUUUAGGUUAAGAUUAAGAUAAAUGUUAGGCUUAAAGUUAAAUUAGUGUUAAGAUUAAGGUUAGUGUUCAGAUUAAGGUUAUAUUAGUGUGGAGAUUAAGGUUAGGUUAAGGUUAGUGUUAAGAUUAAGGUAAGGUUAAGGUUAGGGUUAACAUUAUGGUUAGGUUAAAGUUAAUAUUAUGAUUUGGUUAAGAUUAGGGUUAAGAUUUAAGUUAAGGUUCAGAUUAAGGUUAAGGUUCAGAUUAAGGUUAUUGUACGUUAAGGUUAAAAUUUAGUUUAGGGUUUAGAUUAGGGUUAGGGUUCAGAUUAAGGUUAGGUUAUUUGUUGUUUUCUGGUCCCCACAUGUAUAGCAGUAUACAACUGUGUUCUGUGUGAGUGCUUGUGUGGAUCCUUUUUGUGUUUAUAAUGAUUUGUGGCCUCAAAGUUCAUGAAGUGUGUGCGAGUAUGUCUGACUCACCGUUAAACAUGGUUGCAGGUUGUGCCACGCCUUGGAGAGGUGACAGGGGAGGUGACAGGGGAGGUGACAGGGGAGGUGACAGGGGAGGUGACAGCGGGGGUGACAGCGGGGGUAACUUGAUCAUGUUGGGAUAUGGAGCUGAUGAAUACAGAAUUGAAUAAAUCAUCCACAUGGCAAUCCUGACACAUCUUUAUAAAAUAAUCAAAACAGAAACAUUUGACUUUCACCAAACCGGAUAAAACUGUUUAACAGAUGAAUAGAAACAGGCCAAACUGGAUAGAAUCAACACCAUGGUUACAGUAGAAGGAGACUAGGAAAGACUUGUUAGAGUAGGACUGGACUGGUCAGAACCAGGCUGACCUAAAUAAUACUGGAUAGAACUAGAUAGUUUUUGCGAACCUACACCAAGUGUGCUCUGAAAUGAGUACAACUGGUACCGGACAACUGGUGACCUGUGGGAAGUAACUGUCACCCUGUUCCCUUCUAAAUUUCUGAAGGAACCCGUGAAUUGACAACCGAAGCUGACCGGGAGCAAGAACAUCGCUGCACAACGUCACGGGUCAUGAGCAGAAGACUGUGUGGUGUUUAAAACACGUUUUAUUCCUAGUGUCUGUUUGGGCGUGUGGUUACGCAUACGCGCCACUUGACCUUCUGAGUCCGUUUAUUAAGACGCCGUGAGAUCCUCAUUUCUUAAUUUCACUCAUUUGUCCUGUAUACCUUAUGAUGUAGGAUUAUAUCCUGGUCAUGGGAUUAUACGUAUAUUAUAAAUAUAUUAUAAAAACCCUCACCAGAAGGUUUUUAUGUAGGUCCCCUGUAGGGAAAAUUAUUCUCUGCACAGGGUUUAGGUGUAGGGAAACUCUUCGGGCACACAAUUAGCCAUUGUGUUUAAAACUUAUUUUGGUUUAGGCAUUUCUAGUUAGGGUUAAAUGUUAGGGCUUGGUUAUGUUUAGGCAUAAAAGUUAGGUUAUUGAUGUUAGUGCAGGGAACAGGGAACAUGGUCAGGGUCGGGCUUCAGGUCCCACUUAGUAUAGAAAGACAAGAACGACGGACUGGACAGUAUGUUUUCAAAACGUACUGUUGCAGAAGAUAGCUGGUUGUGCCACGCCCGUGCCAUCCUGACGAACGUUCGGGCUCACGGUGAACUGAGACGCUGGUGAAUUGAAUACAUUUUUAAAGAACUGUCGCACCUUUUCAAAACUCAAAACAAUAUUGACCAACUUGAUAAAUAUCACGACCCCGGUUCAAAUGUGGAGGGAGAACAGGGAAGGGGUAGGACAGAUUAGAACCAAACGGAUCACGUUGAAGCAAGGUAGGGCAGGCUACAACUGAAUGAAAUUUAGCAUUGAUCUUAAUAAAACCUGGUAAGAAUUACAGUGCCAUGCUGGGGAGGUGGAUUCAUGCUUGGUUGAGAAGUAAAUGUUUAAAGUAUUACAAAACUUGUGGCUAGGGCGAUACACAUUUUCCAAACUCCUAAACAAAGCACUAAUAUUUACUUACAAAAAAAGUGGAUGAGCUAGAUACAUUUGGAUAAAACAGAAAGAAUUGGAUAGAAUCCCCACCAUGGUUACUUUAUGGAGGGAUACCUGGGAAGACUGGAUGAAACCAGACUGAACUAGAUAUAAUCCCUAUCAUUGUUACUUUAUGGAGGGAUACCUGGGAAGACUGGAUGAAACCAGACUGAACUGGAUAGAAUCCCCACCAUGGUUACUUUAUGGAGGGAGACCUGGGAAGACUGGAUGAAACCAGACUGAACUGGAUAGAAUCCCCACCAUGGUUACUUUAUGAAGGGAGACCUGGGAAGACUGGAUGAAACCAGACUGAACUGGAUAUAAUCCCCACCAUGGUUACUUUAUGGAGGGAUACCUAGGAAGACUGGAUGAAACCAGAUUGAACUGGAUAGAAUCCCCAACAUGGUUACUUUAUGGAUACCGGGGAAGACUGGAUGAAACCAGACUGAACUGGUUGAAAGCAGGCAGCUUUCAUCCAAAUGCUAUGCAACAGAAUAGAACCAGGUAGAACUGCUGUGGAAUGGAUAGAUCAAGAUGGAACAAAGUAACAAAGAACAGAACUGGAAAGAUCUGGAAAGAACCUGUAAAAAACCAUCAAACUGGAUGGAUUAGGUAGACUACAUAAUCUUCUAGUUCACAUAAACCUGAAAAAUAAAACCAUGGGGGGACUUUUGUUGGGUCCUCACUUAGGAUAAUGUUAUACACAGCCCUGUGGUUAUGUUUAGGGAAAAUAUCCAGUGAGGCAUAGUGUUAGAAUUGGGGAUACUUUUAGGUUUAGGCAUUUUUGGUAAGGGUAAUGUUUAGAUUUCAUCGCUAGUUUAAGUUUAUAGUUGGAAUUUGAGUUAGGCAUUACGAGUUAGGUGUAGGUUUAGGAUUUACAAAACAUAAAAUGUUAUGUUUUUGAGGUUAAGAUUAAAUUCAGGGUUAGCAUUAGCAAAAGUAGGAUUUGUAAGGACAGUAAACUUUGGUGACCCCACUUAAAUAGCUAAGUGAACAUGUGUGUGUGUGUGUGUGUGUGUGUGUGUGAGCGUGUGCAUGUGCGUCAGAUGUGCCACGUGCACAUCCAUGUUGGUGUCACACUGAGAAUGGGAUUGGUUCAUGCAGGACCGGGAGCUGAGCAAUGAAAUACGCUGUUAAAGAAUUACAAAAAAUAUGGAUCAGGACUCAAUGCCCACAAUCAAAAUGUCAACAUACACUGGAUGAGUUAAACCAAAGCAAACAGGAUGAAAUCACCACCUGUGGAGGGUUAGCAGGGGAAAGACGUGUUGGAACCAGACAGAACUGGUAGGAACCAGCUUGACCUGGUCUGGACCUGGACAGAACCUUAUUAAAAACAGACAGAGCUGGAUAUAUCAGUACAAAACCAGAUUAAAAAAAAACCCAGAAAGGUUUUGUUUGUUGCUCAAUCAAUAUCUCACACCUCCACAGAGAUACGGGACAAGAAACUAGUACCCUGACCAACUCACAUCCUGUCAGAGAGGUUGCUACGGUCAGGUGUUGCUGCAAUAGGAUAUUCGGGCCAUACCUUGUGCGUUUGUAACACCACCUUGGUUUUGACUUUGGGGAACUGUGGACGAGAAACAAAUUGAAUUCAAGUAAUUGAGGUUUUGCAAUGCAACAGUUAAGUACCAUCUUUAUUUAGUGUGUGCCUGCGUUCAUGCAACUGAGGACAAAAUAUAUUUUAAAUGUUUAUGUAUAUGUGUGUGGGUGUGUGAAACACAGUCCGUGUGACUGUUUGCCUGUUGUCCCAUGUCUGGGCUGUACUGGGGAUUUGAUGAGUUCAUGCUGGAUUGGGAAACUGAAUGAAUAAAAAAUCUAGCCAUUAAUAAGCCAUUAUGACAAACACCUAUUCAAAAAGAAUCCUCAAAGCAGUGAAGUUUUUCUUCAGUGUGUGUGUGUGUCUGUGUGUGUGUGUUAGUGCAGUUUUGAACACAAAUCAAGAAUUUAAUGUGUGUAUGUGUGUGUGGAUGUGUGUGGAUGUCUGACUCACUGUUUCCUGUGUUUCCAGAUUGUUCCAUGACCUCUUCAUACAGGGGAGAUGACUCGUUCAUGUUGGGUUUGGGAUCUGAAAAAAUACAUACGUAAUGAAUCUAUGGCCAUCGUGACAUAUCUUUUCAGAGAUCAUAAUUUAACAGUAACCUUGUACCAGAAACAAACAAAAAAAAACAGAGAGAAACAGACAGAACAAGAUAGAAUGACCAUCUAGGUAACUGUAGAAGGAGAGCAGGAAAGAUUUGUUAGAACCGGACAGAACAGAGAGAAAGAGAUACAGGUUUCAGAAACCAGUACCCUGACCAUCCUUGUCAGAGAGUUUGCUACAGUCAGGUGUGGCCACGGCUCUUGCCUUUCGGGGCCCUAAACAUUAUUUGAUUAGAGGACUCCCUGCUAUAGCGGGCCUAGUGGUCACAUCAGGAAAUGGAGGCCAAAUCUUGUGUGUUUGUAACAUCACCUUGGUUUUGGCUUUGGGGAAAUGUAGACAAGAAAUCAAUUGAAACAGUUAUUUACCGUCUUUGUCUAGUGUGUGCCUGCAUUCAUGCAUUUGAGGACCAAAAAAAGAUUUUAAAUAUUUGUGUAUGUGUGUGUGUGUGUGUGUGUGUCUGUAACACACAGUCCAGAUUGUUUGUCUGUUGUCCCAUGUCUGGGCUGUACUGAGGAUUUGAUGAGUUCAUGCUGGAUUGGGAAACUGAUGAAUGAAUAAAACAUUUGUUACCAUUAUGACAAACACCUAUUCAAAACUGGUCCUCACAACAAUGAAGUUUUGCUUCGGUGUGUGAGUGCAUUUUUGAAUCCCUGAUUGUGAACACAACAUUGAGAAUUUCAAGUGUGGAUGUGUGUGGAAGUGUGUGUGUGUGUGUGGAAGUGUGUGUGUGUGUGUGUGUGGAAGUGUGAGUGUGUGUCUGACUGACCGUUACCCGUGUCUUCAGGGUGUUCCAUGACCACAUCAUACAUGGGAGGUGUCUGGUUCAUGUUGGUAUAUGGAGCUAAAGACAAUACACACAUAAUCAAUGGCCAUCGUGACAUAUCUUUUCCAAAACAUGGAAUGACCACCUAGGUAGCGGUAGACGGUGAGCAAGGAAGACUUGUUAGAAUCAGACAGAACAGAGAGAAAGAGACACAGGUUUAAAAAUGAGUGGUCGGUGUUCUGGCUCGGGGCGAGACUAGUGACCCGUCACUUAUAGGUGAAUGAGCCACAAAAGACACGUGGAAAAGCUUCGGGCUUCCCGUCCUUCCUUCCAGGCGCGUCACGUGUGCAGCACACAUUCUCUUCACUUCUGCUUUGCUUUAGGCAUUCAUGUUUCACAUCGGUAGUUGUCAUGUUAGUUUGUUUUUUUUGCUCGAACAGAAAGCAGCACCUCUCGAACGCCGGCUUUCUCUCUUCCCGCUAUUCUCUGGCACCUUUCAGAAAAGGGCGCUGAUUAAGUGGUCCAUUUAUAUCCAAGAUGAGAAGAAACUGGCCAUACUCAAGUGGAUGAAAACUGACUGACCCCGGAAAGAACGAUGGUUAUUUAGCUGUAAUGCAGGGUAAUUUGUAGCUCUGUCCCUCAGCAGAUUAGCAGUAAUCCCCGGCCGUUAAUUUCCUCUCAACAUCUAAGGGUUUGGUUUGUUGUCCGACGGACACAAGGGGUUUGCGUCAUGUGACCAAACUCCCAAGUCGAGUACACGACGCGGGAUACUGCAGAUGCGUGUUUUUUCUCAGUCGAUCGUGUGACAGGAUUCCUGGAAUUUCUCCCACGUCACGUAAACUUGACAUACCUGUUUGAUAGUAGCUCAAUCCAAACAGUGUCGGCCCUAGCCAUUUGGGGGCCCUGAGCAACAUUUUAUUUGGGGCCCCCCUCUCUCUUCUAUUGGUCGGGGGGCUCCCUAUCAGUCAGAGACCCCCUAGCGGUCAGGGCCGUAGACGGCCCUUUGUGUUGCGUAUGCCUGGAGCCGGCCCUGACUACAACUCUUUUUUUUUCUUUAGGCAUAUCUUUUGGCUAAUAACAUUGGAGCAUGUUAGUUGUUGUUACAUGUUACAAAGCAUGAGUAAUGUAACAUCCCUUGUGAAUUUCAUGUGCGGUUCCCUAAAAACUAAGCUCUCCGAACCCUUUGGGCAUGACUUGGCCCUUUGGGCAUGACUUGACCCUUUGGGCAUGACUUGACCCUUUGGGCAUGACUUGACCCUUUGGGCAUGACUUGGCUAAAACACAUUUAUUUGGAAAAAUGCUGGUCAUCAUGUACAUCCAGUUGAAAUUAAUCCAACUGGAUAAGAGCGUUUGGUCCGUAAAUGAGUAAAUCCAAAGAUUCCUCGAAUUGCAUCACAACCCCACUGGAAAUAGUUUUCUGGGCAACUACGUGACGUACAGAAAAAAGAAUGUGCCUUGCUACAAGUUAUGGACAAACCAGAGAUGUGACAUUCUGCCAUCUAGUAGAUAUGCCUGAUGUUGUAAGAUGAAUGUGUGAACUACACUAUCUUCAUAUCUCAGACAAACCAUUCCAGUAGAGCAAGGCAGAGUAUUACAAUACAAUCGCAAAUGACAGCAACCAGACAGAGGAAAGGUUUUCAUGACUUGUCUUGGCCCUGGUUUAAUACCCUGAUGGCUUUGCCAAAUAUACUUACAGACAUUAUUCUGUGAAAUAACUCUUUAUAUUAAGAGUUACCAAAUUAUAUGGCACACACUAAUCACUUUUUUGUUUCAGAUUUGGGCUGAUUAAUUUUCAAUUACUGGUCGGUGGUCAUUGGCUGAAUGGAAAGAGGGGAAAAAUAACUUCCAUACAAUUUCCAUUCAAACAAUUAAGUAGAUGCCCUUAUCCAGAGCAACGUCCAGUAGUGAAUGCACAUAUUUUCAAAUUUUUUGAAUAGUUAAAUUAGAUUGGACGUGACAAUAACAUUGCACUUCAGUUUUUCUUCCAUUGUCUUCCAGACUAAUGCAGAAAACACAACAUGAACAUGAGGACUCUAUCCUCCAAAGCUCCACUGCAACACCUCCAGCCACCCUCCACCUUGCCCCAGCUCCUUACCUGUCUGGGGUCCUGGUGGUGUGGUCAGGGCCUCUAUUGUGGAGUUAAAGAGCUGCUACUCCCUUGAGAGAAGGAGAGAAACUGAAAAACACAGACAGAGAGCAAGACUGAAACAUGAAAGAGAAAGAGUCUUGAGAUAGAAAGAGAUAUUUUU
This is a long non-coding RNA of Esox lucius (northern pike), 10679 nucleotides long. The record is from Ensembl. NCBI's taxonomy places the organism in Eukaryota, Metazoa, Chordata, Actinopteri, Esociformes, Esocidae.